Molecule: ribosomal RNA, 426 nt
Filed under: uncultured bacterium
Lineage: Bacteria
Description: bacterial SSU rRNA
Rfam family: Bacterial small subunit ribosomal RNA
Source: RNAcentral
AGGGAAUCUUCCGCAAUGGACGAAAGUCUGACGGAGCAACGCCGCGUGAGUGAUGAAGGUUUUCGGAUCGUAAAACUCUGUUGUUAGGGAAGAACAAGUACCGUUCGAAUAGGGCGGCACCUUGACGGUACCUAACCAGAAAGCCACGGCUAACUACGUGCCAGCAGCCGCGGUAAUACGUAGGUGGCAAGCGUUGUCCGGAAUUAUUGGGCGUAAAGCGCGCGCAGGCGGUUUUUUAAGUCUGAUGUGAAAGCCCACGGCUCAACCGUGGAGGGUCAUUGGAAACUGGAAGACUUGAGUGCAGAAGAGGAGAGUGGAAUUCCACGUGUAGCGGUGAAAUGCGUAGAGAUGUGGAGGAACACCAGUGGCGAAGGCGACUCUCUGGUCUGUAACUGACGCUGAGGCGCGAAAGCGUGGGGAGCAAAC